UACGUACCGUCCAAACGUUAUUCGGAAUUACUGGGCUUAAAGGGUACGUAGGCGGCGGCAUCAGUCGGUUGUGAAAUCCCACGGCUCAACCGUGGAACUGCGCCCGAUACUGUGGUGCUUGAGGGAGACAGAGGUAAGCGGAACUGAUGGUGAAGCGGUGAAGUGCGUUGAUAUCAUCAGGAACACCAGUGGCGAAAGCGGCUUACUGGGUCUCUUCUGACGCUGAGGUACGAAAGCGAGGGGAGCGAAGGGG
RNAcentral lists this ribosomal RNA (253 nucleotides) under uncultured bacterium. RNAcentral describes it as "partial 16S ribosomal RNA". It matches the Rfam family "Bacterial small subunit ribosomal RNA", at positions 524 to 776 of the family's 1533-position model. The record is from RNAcentral.